Molecule: transfer RNA, 73 nt
Organism: Fomitiporia mediterranea MF3/22
Lineage: Eukaryota; Fungi; Basidiomycota; Agaricomycetes; Hymenochaetales; Hymenochaetaceae
Rfam family: tRNA
About the family: Transfer RNA (tRNA) molecules are approximately 80 nucleotides in length. Their secondary structure includes four short double-helical elements and three loops (D, anti-codon, and T loops).
Source: Rfam
GCCGCAAUAGCUCAGCUGGGAGAGCAGUAGACUGAAGUUCUAAAGGUCCCCCGUUCGAUCCGGGGUUGUGGCA